Molecule: long non-coding RNA, 277 nt
Filed under: Numida meleagris (helmeted guineafowl)
Lineage: Eukaryota; Metazoa; Chordata; Aves; Galliformes; Numididae
Description: lncRNA (ENSNMEG00000008805.1)
Source: RNAcentral
UUAUAAACAAAAUGGGGGAGGCUAUUCUCAUCUGGAAGUAGUCAGAAUGGAUGUAAGCUUGUCCCACAACUAAAUAUUUUGCUUCAGUUUUGAAUGUAAGAAACGUGAAAACAUGAACCAAGCUAAAAAGCUAUGGCCCAUAAAGAAAAUCAUCUGCAGUAGCAUAAAAGGAGCUCCUAUUCUGAGACUUCAGUGCUGCAUAAGGAAAUGUUGCCCAUACUACUGGAAGCUGGCUCCAAUUACUAGCCUUUAAUUGAGAAGCAUGAAGAUGCUGAGA